Molecule: ribosomal RNA, 450 nt
Filed under: uncultured Glomeromycotina
Lineage: Eukaryota; Fungi; Glomeromycota
Description: SSU rRNA
Rfam family: Eukaryotic small subunit ribosomal RNA
Source: RNAcentral
AGCAGCCGCGGUAAUUCCAGCUCCAAUAGCGUAUAUUAAAGUUGUUGCAGUUAAAAAGCUCGUAGUUGAAUUUCGGGAUCAAUAUGUCGGUCGUGCCUCCGGUACGUACUGGCAUCAUUGAUUUCUCCCUUCUGACGAACCAUGAUGUCAUUAAUUUGGUGUCAUGGGGAGUCAGGACUGUUACUUUGAAAAAUUAGAGUGUUUAAAGCAGGCUCACGCUUGAAUACAUUAGCAUGGAAUAAUGAAAUAGGACGUUUGACCCUAUUUUGUUGGUUUCUAGGAUCGACGUAAUGAUUAAUAGGGAUAGUUGGGGGCAUUAGUAUUCAAUUGUCAGAGGUGAAAUUCUUGGAUUUAUUGAAGACUAACUACUGCGAAAGCAUUUGCCAAGGAUGUUUUCAUUAAUCAAGAACGAAAGUUAGGGGAUCGAAGACGAUCAGAUACCGUCGUAGU